GAUGAACGCUGGCGGCGUGCCUAAUACAUGCAAGUCGAGCGAACGGACGAGAAGCUUGCUUCUCUGAUGUUAGCGGCGGACGGGUGAGUAACACGUGGAUAACCUACCUAUAAGACUGGGAUAACUUCGGGAAACCGGAGCUAAUACCGGAUAAUAUUUUGAACCGCAUGGUUCAAAAGUGAAAGACGGUCAUGCUGUCACUUAUAGAUGGAUCCGCGCUGCAUUAGCUAGUUGGUAAGGUAACGGCUUACCAAGGCAACGAUGCAUAGCCGACCUGAGAGGGUGAUCGGCCACACUGGAACUGAGACACGGUCCAGACUCCUACGGGAGGCAGCAGUAGGGAAUCUUCCGCAAUGGGCGAAAGCCUGACGGAGCAACGCCGCGUGAGUGAUGAAGGUCUUCGGAUCGUAAAACUCUGUUAUUAGGGAAGAACAUAUGUGUAAGUAACUGUGCACAUCUUGACGGUACCUAAUCAGAAAGCCACGGCUAACUACGUG
This 497-nucleotide ribosomal RNA is filed under the name uncultured bacterium. RNAcentral's name for it is "partial 16S ribosomal RNA". It matches the Rfam family "Bacterial small subunit ribosomal RNA", at positions 28 to 507 of the family's 1533-position model. The record is from RNAcentral.